Molecule: ribosomal RNA, 254 nt
Filed under: uncultured bacterium
Lineage: Bacteria
Description: partial 16S ribosomal RNA
Rfam family: Bacterial small subunit ribosomal RNA
Source: RNAcentral
UACGGGGGGAGCAAGCGUUGUUCGGAUUUACUGGGCGUAAAGGGCGCGUAGGCGGCCACCGCAAGUCGACUGUGAAAUCUCCGGGCUUAACCCGGAAAGGUCAUCCGAUACUGCGGGGCUAGAGUGCAGAAGGGGCAACUGGAAUUCUCGGUGUAGCGGUGAAAUGCGUAGAUAUCGAGAGGAACACCUGCGGCGAAGGCGGGUUGCUGGGCUGACACUGGCGCUUAGGCGCGAAAGCUAGGGGAGCGAACGGG